GUGAAUCAUCAAAUUUUUGAACGCAAAUUGCGCUUCCUAGCGAUCCGGGAAGUAUGCCUGUUUGAGGGUCAGUAUUAACAAAAAAAUCGUUUUGGUUGCAAAUUGUGACGUUUCCGGAGUUUGGUCUAUCUUAACUUUGUUGGUUAAUGUGCUUAAAAUUGACUUUUUUUGCGUAUUUUUAGACGUACAUAAAUUUUUUUUUUAUUCGUUUAUUUUUAUUACCAUAAACUAAUUAGAUGCAAUCACAU
This 248-nucleotide unclassified non-coding RNA is filed under the name Glomeraceae sp. RNAcentral describes it as "partial contains 5.8S ribosomal RNA and internal transcribed spacer 2". The stretch from base 1 to 71 matches the Rfam family "5.8S ribosomal RNA", at positions 84 to 154 of the family's 154-position model. The record is from RNAcentral. Lineage: Eukaryota; Fungi; Glomeromycota; Glomeromycetes; Glomerales; Glomeraceae.